This 253-nucleotide ribosomal RNA is filed under the name uncultured bacterium. RNAcentral's name for it is "partial 16S ribosomal RNA". It matches the Rfam family "Bacterial small subunit ribosomal RNA", at positions 524 to 776 of the family's 1533-position model. The record is from RNAcentral.
UACGUAGGGUGCGAGCGUUGCCCGGAUUUAUUGGGCGUAAAGGGCGCGUAGGCGGCUCGGCACGUCCGUUGUGUAAUCGCCCGGCUCAACUGGGCGGGGUCAGCGGAUACGGUCGAGCUUGAGCAAGCUAGGGGGUAAUGGAAUUCCCGGUGUAGUGGUGGAAUGCGUAGAUAUCGGGAGGAACACCAGUGGCGAAGGCGGUUACCUGGGGCUUUGCUGACGCUGAUGCGCGAAAGCGUGGGGAGCGAUCCGG